This 581-nucleotide ribosomal RNA is filed under the name uncultured bacterium. RNAcentral's name for it is "partial 16S ribosomal RNA". It matches the Rfam family "Bacterial small subunit ribosomal RNA", at positions 355 to 936 of the family's 1533-position model. The record is from RNAcentral.
UGGGGAAUAUUGCACAAUGGGCGCAAGCCUGAUGCAGCCAUGCCGCGUGUGUGAAGAAGGCCUUCGGGUUGUAAAGCACUUUCAGCGAGGAGGAAGGUGGUGGACUUAAUACGUUCAUCAAUUGACGUUACUCGCAGAAGAAGCACCGGCUAACUCCGUGCCAGCAGCCGCGGUAAUACGGAGGGUGCAAGCGUUAAUCGGAAUUACUGGGCGUAAAGCGCACGCAGGCGGUUUGUUAAGUCAGAUGUGAAAUCCCCGGGCUCAACCUGGGAACUGCAUUUGAAACUGGCAAGCUAGAGUCUCGUAGAGGGGGGUAGAAUUCCAGGUGUAGCGGUGAAAUGCGUAGAGAUCUGGAGGAAUACCGGUGGCGAAGGCGGCCCCCUGGACGAAGACUGACGCUCAGGUGCGAAAGCGUGGGGAGCAAACAGAUUAGAUACCCUGGUAGUCCACGCUGUAAACGAUGUCGAUUUUGGAGGUUGUGCCCUUGAGGCGUGGCUUCCGGAGCUAACGCGUUAAAUCGACCGCCUGGGGAGUACGGCCGCAAGGUUAAAACUCAAAUGAAUUGCGGGUCUAGCUGUUCC